UGCAGGGAUGCAAACUGCUCUGAACAUGCUCCAUCUUGUCUGAACUUGAAAGCUAAGCAGUGUCAGGCUGACUUCAUAUUUGGCUAGGAGGUUCUGGGAGUACCAAGCACCACAGGAA
This 118-nucleotide ribosomal RNA is filed under the name Notamacropus eugenii (tammar wallaby). Lineage: Eukaryota; Metazoa; Chordata; Mammalia; Diprotodontia; Macropodidae. The record is from RNAcentral.